This 425-nucleotide ribosomal RNA is filed under the name uncultured bacterium. RNAcentral's name for it is "partial 16S ribosomal RNA". It matches the Rfam family "Bacterial small subunit ribosomal RNA", at positions 354 to 796 of the family's 1533-position model. The record is from RNAcentral.
GUGGGGAAUCUUAGACAAUGGGGGCAACCCUGAUCUAGCCAUGCCGCGUGAGUGAUGAAGGCCUUAGGGUCGUAAAGCUCUUUCGCUGGGGAAGAUAAUGACGGUACCCAGUAAAGAAACCCCGGCUAACUCCGUGCCAGCAGCCGCGGUAAUACGGAGGGGGUUAGCGUUGUUCGGAAUUAAUGGGCGUAAAGCGCGCGUAGGCGGAUUGGAAAGUUGGGGGUGAAAUCCAGGGGCUCAACCCUGGAAUGGCCUUCAAAACUCCCAGUCUUGAGGUCGAGAGAGGUGAGUGGAAUUCCGAGUGUAGAGGUGAAAUUCGUAGAUAUUCGGAGGAACACCAGUGGCGAAGGCGGCUCACUGGCUCGAUACUGACGCUGAGGUGCGAAAGCGUGGGGAGCAAACAGGAUUAGAAACCCGUGUAGUCC